CUAUGACACACCCCGUCCCGAAGGAGGGCAUGCUGGCCGUCACGUGAGAGUGACGUAACCAUUUGCACAGUACGGAAGCUUUAAGAUACAAUUUAUAAGUUGAUACACCCGAAGGUGAGUCCUAAUUUUGUCCAAUCUGUCAGAACACCGUCGAAUUCCUCGUAGUCACCACACCUUUGUGAUUCCUGAACCUGGAGGGGCGCAAAACCAAAAUUGAGUGGGUCAGUAAAACAAUUCUUUUUCCAAAUCCAAACAUUUCUCAAAACGUUGUAACCCCUCUCCGUAAAACCUGUAUACUUUCCCAGAAAUGUAAAAUAUAAAUAUACAUAUAUAUUCUCAAGACUUCAAGUCGUUAACUCAACAUUUUCAUAACAAUUAUGCCAUGCCACAUCAUCUCAACAGUAAUAAGGUAUGAAUGCAUCAACAUAAUCAUAUCAGGUGCAAGAAAGUAAUCAACCGUAGGCCCUCUAAUAGCCCUGUACGGUUGAACCUAGAGCUCAAAAUCUAUCAUUAUCACUCUACCGGAGUCACCUCUGUGACCCGUCCGGCCUUCUGCACACAAGUUACGCUCUAGUGCUUCUCAUAAAUCAUCUGUGCACAUAAUCUAAGGUCACCCACCAGUCGGAAUCUCACUAACACUCUCGCGACUGGUCUGUCGUACCCACUCCGCGUGGACUGUACGACUAGCAUCUACUUGGAUCCAAGGCGAGCGUGCGAUGUGGUGAAUACUAUAAGCACUAAACCAUGGUGCAGGAUUUGAGCUCAAUAUAUAUCAUCAUCAUCAUAACAGUAAUUAAAUACUCAUCUGUGCGUCCACCGCACCAUUUCAUACAUAUGCAUCAUAAAUCAAUUCUUACCUGUGCGUCCACCGCACCAAUUCAUACAUAUGCAUCAUAAAUCAAUUCUUACCUGUGCGUCCACCGCACCAAUUCAUACAUAUGCAUCAUAAAUCAAUUCUUACAUGUGCGUCCACCGCACCAAUUCAUACAUAUGCAUCAUAUAUUAAUUCAUGCAUGGCAUUUCAACUCACAUUUCUAUAUACUUUUCAUAUCAAUUCUAUGCAUGGUAUUUCACUUCCCGUUUUUCCACAUAACUCAUAUGCAUUUCAUUUUAAACAUAUUUUCAUUUCAAUUCAAUUUCUGGGAAACGUCAAGUAUAUAUAUAUACGGAAAACAAAACUGCCCACUCACCUGGAGUUCGUCCAACAACUCCCUAGCACCACACAUCAAGGCGUCAUGACGAUCGCCGCCUAGAAUAGUAAUAGUAAUCAAAUCCAGGCUCAGAAUUCAUAUCGAUAGAAUACAUAACUUAUAUAAAAUACGUCACUACGUUGAUCGAUCCGGAAGAUCUGCCACUCAGAUUUUAAAUCCAUAACUUCCAGAGGUCCACAUUAUACCUCUAGGACAACAUCCUAAAAUUUCAUUACCAUCCAACGGUCGGAUCUCCGUCAAUUUCCAAAACUAAGUGACGGUUAACAUUUUAUAUUAUGGACUUACAAUUCCAAUUCCGGAAGAUCCGUAACUCGGAUUCCCAAUCCGUAAGUUCCAAUAAUCCUCAAAUAUUACGUAUUACAACGUAUCAAAUUUUGGUGACGAUCCAACGGUCGGAUCAUCAAUUCACAUUUUCACCUAAAUGUGAAAACUAUAAAACGUUAUUUGAACACCUAACCAACAAUCCUCAAUAACUUUCUCAUACGGUGUUCAAUUUAGGUAUAUGAAUAUACCACAGUGAUCUACUCGACGUCACGGACGUCGACAUAUUUUUAAAAUAAUUUUAUUUUUAUUUUUUAUUUUUACUGUAGCACCUUCUUCUUCCUUGGGUCGCCGGACUGGUUUUUCCGGCGGCCGUUUUCCGGGCAGUUUUUCAAAUUGCCAUAACUUUGUCAUUUCUCAACGAAAUCAAGUGAUUCAAAAACGAAAGUUGUAGCCCUUGAAGAGAAAAAGAGAAUGGUACCUUGCACAACACCUAGUUCGCCGUGGUUUGGCCGGAAACUUCCUCGAAAGCCUCGGAGGUCGCCGGAAACUGGGUAUUUUUCAAAUGAGUAUAACUUCUUCAAUACUCAACGAAAUUGAGUGAAACAAAAAGGAAAGUUGUAGUACUUGACGAGACGAAGAGAUUGAUACCUACCUCGACUCCUAACUCGCCGGGUAUUCGCCGGAAAACGCCUCGAAAGCUCCGGCCAAACUUUGAACUUGUCGAUCUCCGUGUUCUUACGUCCAAAAACUUCCAACGAAGCACUCCGAGCUUCCUUGGGACCUUACUAAACUCGCUGUGAUCUUGUUUUAGCCUAAAACGUAACCAAUUCAAAGCUCAUGAACAGUGUCAUCUCACGGCAACUUUAGAACUAGGGUUUUCGAAGUGAAACUCACCUGAAAUUGGUAUCCCCGUGCUCGUGAAGUCCCCAGGAUCACGAUGGUGGUCUUAAAUGGAACGUUGGUACAAGAUUGUGGUGGUUCUUGGUGGUUGCCGUGAGUUCGAGAGUAAGAGAGAGAAUGAGAGAGUUUCAGAAAAGAAUAAGAGAGAGAGAGAGUCUGGAAUGAAAGAAGAAGAGAGAAGAAAGGUUACGGGUUUUAGGGAGGGAAUUCAGGGUAGGAGGCCCUACCUAAGUCCAAGCACAAAUUAACACAUACAAAUAUAAAUCUAACCCUAGUUUAGGAUCUUAAAGUAAAACAAAUGUCAUACAUUUACACACCUUAAUCCCGUUUAAGGUCACAUUGGUCAUCUCACGUCCUCGGAAUUAAUAAUUCCGGGACGGGCUGUGACAAUCUCCCCUCCUUAUAGAAUUUCGUCCCCGAAAUUCCAAUCACCAACCAGAACAUCAAAACUCAUAAAAUAGUCUCGGAUACAUAACUCUCAUCCGUUCUUCUGUCUCCCAUGUAAUUUUCUACUGAAUGAUUUCCUUCACAAAGCUUUUACUACUUACUCUGUCUUAAUUCUUAGGACCUUCUUUUUCCAAUCCAAAGUCGACAUUAGUUCCUCACCAAUCAGAUCCGGCUUAAUUCUCAAUAGUUGCACCAAAGUCCCAUGUAACGACUCUGCCACUUAGUGACAACGCAUCGAACACAAAAUACAUUAUGUGCCUUAGCCAAUUCUGAAGGCAUCACAAACUUGUAUGCAAGUUUAUUGAUUCCUUUAGUGAAAAAAAAAAAUGGUCUGAUGUGUCUAAAUCUUAUCUUGUCUCUUUUCCAAUUCUCGUCAUUUCUGUUCGCGGUGAAUUUUCCAAAAAUAUCAAACCAUUUACCUUACACACUCGAUUAGUGGCAUAUCCAUCUGUUGAUCUCUUUUUGCCAUUCCUGGUUACUUCAGGUUAACUUAAUCACCUGAAUACUUUGAGGAGACUCAUCCAUAGUCUCAGGGUCUACUAAAACUCUUUCUUGAUCGAAUCUUUCUCUACCCAGAAACAUUCCAUUCACAAGUCAUCAAAAACCGACUCACGUGACACAUUUCAUGGUCCUUAUGGCGUUACUUCGGAAACUGCACAACCAACAUACUUAAGAAACUUAGCAGUUCCGUAAUCCAAUUCUCUUUUCCAUAAAACAAAUUAGUAAUGUUGCACUGUCUGGGAAAGGUUGUUACUCAACACUGGAGUAAAUGUACUAACUUGUUACUUAACAAGUAUAACUUCUUCUCGAUCUUCCAUUCUUAACUUUACUUUAGUUGGUUUCCAAUCCACAAGAAGAUAAUCUUGGCAAACGUGCCAGACAUUAAUCUUACUGUAGUCUUCUCGCCAAGUGCUUGAGCUAGAACAAACUUUACGAUCACCCUGAUCGUACAAUCAUGUUCAUUAAACAAUACAAUUCACUUUCGCUGCCUCAUAUCAAAUUCCUUCCAAGUAAUGGAUAUUGAAGACUUUUUGGAUUCGUAAAAAAAAAUCUUGCAUUCCCACUAAAAUAUAAUGUCUCCAUAACUUCACAGCACGAAUGGUAAUCGUGACUUCCAAAUCACCAGUAGGGUAAUUCAUCUUAUGAGAUUCCAUUUAUCGUGAAACGUAUGCAAUCACCCUAACAUUUGCAUCAACAUGCAUCCAAUACCAUUCAAGAAACAUCACUAAAAAUUUAUGAUUACCAUUAUUCUCUGGGAUUACCAAAAUACGUGCAUGAGUGAGGAAAUACUUCAGUUGUUGAAUCCUUUGCUUACAAUUCCUUCCCACUCAUACCUAACCUCUUUUCUCAACAGUCUCGUCAAUGACAAAGCAAUGACUGAAAAAUCUUUCACAACCAUCCAAGAUAGCCUGGUAAGCUAAGAAAUUCCAAAUCUCAAUUACGACUCGUGGUUGUUCCAAAUUUUAAUUUCUGUUACCUUUUAAGGAUUCACUUGAAUACCUUAAGAAUAUAUAACAUAUCCCAGAAAUGCUGCUUGAUUCAUCCAACAUUCGCAUUUGCUAAACUUAGCAUACAACCAACGUUCUCUUAAUCUUUGCUUCACCGACUUAAUACGUUUACAUGCUCUGCUCUAGGCUUAGAGUAUACCAGAAUAUCUUCAAUGAAAAUGAUAUCUAUUUAUCAAGGCAUUAUUGGAAUACUUCAUCCAAUAACUCAUAAAACAGCAUGAGUAUCCAUAUAGCAUCACCAAACUUCAUAAAGACUAUAACGAGUCCAGAAAACCAUCUUAUGAUCAAUGUCACUUAUAAUAUUCAAUUGGUAGUAACCAGAUCUCAAUUCAAUCUUUGAAUCUUCGCAAUUACUUCUGAGCUGGUUAAAUAAACAUCAGUACAUCACCAUGGAUAACGGUUCUCAAUCGUUACCCGACUCCAUUGUCUAUAAUCAAUGAACAGUCUCAAGAUCCAUUUUCUUCCUCACCAACAAACUGGGGCUCCUCAAAAGUGUUGUACUAGGUUGAAUAAAACUUUUAUCAACCAAUUCCCUCAACUGAAUUUCCAAUUCCCUUAACUCAUCAUGAACCAAUCUCCAAUAUAAAUUUAUACCUGGCAACAAAUCAAUAGUGAACCUCAUAUCUCUGCCUGAAGGCAAUCCAGGUAUACUUUCAGGGAAGACAUCAAGAAAAGUCUAACUCUUUCGACAUUAUUCACACUACUCCAAACAACAUCAUUUAGCACCACAUGAGCUAAGUAUUUUUGACAGCCUUUCGAAAACAAUCUCUUUGCUCUCACAACAUAAAUAAUGGCUGAACUCAAUCCAUUUUGCAUACUUACAAAAGUAAUCUCUGUUCAUCCAGAUCGAUGGAAAGUACUGGUUUCCCAUAACAUUUCGUCUUGUCACAAUUAUAACCAACCAAUCUAAUGGAAAUAAUUUAACCGACACAAUACAUACUCUAUUACUACUAAGCAUUCUGAAUAAGUACAAAAUAAUCUACCGGUUUACUUACUUAACGAAUCCACGAAUGAGUUAUUAAUAUUACGGUCUGCAGCCCGCAAUACUGAUAAAUCAUCGUUGUCUCGAUAAGUAGGCAACCACUCUCAAAGAUAUAACAUUACUAUUUUGUCACUCAAUGCAAAAUACAUACACUCAUCUCAACUACAUUUAUUUACUACUCUCAAGGUAAUAACAUACAUAAUAAGAAAUAUAUCAGCCGAAGUCAACUAGAAUGAUCAAUACGACUGAUUCAACUCUUAUCUCAAUAAUACGUCGGCCGGAUCCACUCCGCGUGGUCGGUACGGCCGAGCCUAUAACUCACAAAUUUCGCAUGUGUCAAUCGAAUCCACUUCUCGUGGCCUGUACGGCUGAACAUAUAACUCAUCAAAUUUCUCUGUACUCACAGUCAAUCCGACCAAACUACUAAGUUUAUAACUCUUCUGAAUCGACACUAUGAUAUCAUGGAAAAUUAUUGAGUACAACUGAUUCUAGGGACGAUUCACAAUUCUGUGUCCCCUCUGUUCACAUAAACACAUUCAUUAAUUUCACACUUCCCAAAGUGUUAAUUUUUGUACCUGCAGCACAAGGUACAUUUCCUUUACUCGAGACACCUUGUCUCAAAUAUCUGGGAUUACCAGUAUAUCCAUCACUUUUAUUCUGACCAGCGACAUUAAAACCUCAGCUGGAAAAAUUAACUCUAGCUUCACUUCUUUCGAAGCUCUGAAUCUUUCUAUAUCCUUGAUAUGACGAAUCAUUAACUUUAUCGUCUUCUUUUAAUUCCUAUUCUUUUCUUAUUCUUCUUUAUUCUCGUUGCUCAUGUUCUCAGAGUCCUCAAGAUUCAACAACAUCUAGCAUACUCCUGAUAAGAACUACAAUGGAUAGUGGUCACCCAAAAUACCACUUCCCUUUUGUCACCCAGCUUAAAACAACAUAACACCUCCACCAAAUUAACAACAAUAUCUGGAUGGAACGAGGCUAGUCUGAAAACUUUCUAUAAUAUCCCUCGAUCAUCACCUUCCUUGUCUCAUAUUUGUAAAUUCUUGUUUACUACCAUCGAUAAAUGCCGGAGGGAUAAACUUUUCCUUUAAACAAGUCCUUAAACAAUUCUCAAUCGACUGAUUCCUCUGGUGACAACAAUUCAUACUCCUGUUUCCACCAGGAUACAAAUUCAUAACCAAAACCAGGUAGUCGUCUCGACCCCCUGUCAGAAGGAAAUUUCCUUUGACUUGCAUAAUCUGAAACAUCUUUUCCAAAUGGUUAAACCGUUACUUCGCUCUCUCAGGUUCAUCAUUUCAUAAGGUGAUUCAAGUUCAACUCAUUACCCAUCUUAAAAUGUCCCUUUAGACAAUAGACUGAAUCACCAUAGUAAUAGUUUCCCCCUAAACCGCUAAAUCAGGGAGACUAAGUUCCUCUAACUACGUGGCUUGCUACGAGGCGGUGUAGUUCUGACAGAAUUCACUAGAACUUCUCAAGAUGUCCAAGAUUGCAACCAUGCUCUGAUACCAACUGACACACCCCGUCCCGAAGGAGGGCAUGCUGGCCGUCACGUGAGAGUGACGUAACCAUUUGCACAGUACGGAAGCUUUAAGAUACAAUUUAUAAGUUGAUACACCCGAAGGUGAGUCCUAAUUUUGUCCAAUCUGUCAGAACACCGUCGAAUUCCUCGUAGUCACCACACCUUUGUGAUUCCUGAACCUGGAGGGGCGCAAAACCAAAAUUGAGUGGGUCAGUAAAACAAUUCUUUUUCCAAAUCCAAACAUUUCUCAAAACGUUGUAACCCCUCUCCGUAAAACCUGUAUACUUUCCCAGAAAUGUAAAAUAUAAAUAUACAUAUAUAUUCUCAAGACUUCAAGUCGUUAACUCAACAUUUUCAUAACAAUUAUGCCAUGCCACACAUCAUCUCAACAGUAAUAAGGUAUGAAUGCAUCAACAUAAUCAUAUCAGGUGCAAGAAAGUAAUCAACCGUAGGCCCUCUAAUAGCCCUGUACGGUUGAACCUAGAGCUCAAAAUCUAUCAUUAUCACUCUACCGGAGUCACCUCUGUGACCCGUCCGGCCUUCUGCACACAAGUUACGCUCUAGUGCUUCUCAUAAAUCAUCUGUGCACAUAAUCUAAGGUCACCC
Molecule: long non-coding RNA, 7434 nt
Filed under: Malus domestica (apple)
Lineage: Eukaryota; Viridiplantae; Streptophyta; Magnoliopsida; Rosales; Rosaceae
Description: long non-coding RNA (MDOM_LNC011507)
Source: RNAcentral